Molecule: ribosomal RNA, 254 nt
Filed under: uncultured bacterium
Lineage: Bacteria
Description: partial 16S ribosomal RNA
Rfam family: Bacterial small subunit ribosomal RNA
Source: RNAcentral
UACGUAGGGUGCGAGCGUUGUCCGGAAUUACUGGGCGUAAAGGGCUCGUAGGUGGCCAACUAAGUCAGACGUGAAAUCCCUCGGCUUAACCGGGGAACUGCGUCUGAUACUGGAUGGCUUGAGGUUGGGAGAGGGAUGCGGAAUUCCAGGUGUAGCGGUGAAAUGCGUAGAUAUCUGGAGGAACACCGGUGGCGAAGGCGGCAUCCUGGACCAAUUCUGACGCUGAGGAGCGAAAGCCAGGGGAGCAAACGGGG